UUUUGAAAUUCCCACCAAAAAUUUAUUUUUAGUACUCUUAUUUUCAAAAGCCUUGUUCACAUGGUUAUUUUAUUUAUUAAUGCCCAGUAAAAGCUAGUCGGUUGAUUUUAAAAUUUGUUUAUAUAUUUCCCCAUCAGAUUCAGUAAUUGAGUAAUUCGUCUUAUGAAAGCCAGAAAGGUAUUUUAAAACAUAAAAAAACUAACCAAAGCAACUGUACUUCAUCUUGAAAGCCCAUUAGAACAAUAUAUUAUCUUUAGCAAGUACACAUUUCCUGUCAGCUGAAGUAAACUGAAUUUUCCAGUCUUUCUACCAAGACCAGAUUAGUGGUAUAGCUCAAAAAAUAGCUCUUGCUUAAAUUUCAAUUGCUAAAACAUAACCUAUGUUUUAUGAUUUGGGUUUUUUCUAAUAAAGAGGUGUAAUGUUUUAUUGCUUAUUUUUAAGGCAUUCUUUUGACUCCAAAUAGAAAAGACAAACCUAAUACUUCAAAGAGAGAUGAAUGUAGUAGAAAUACUAGGUGGACUAGCAACUAUAACUUGACACCUGCUUAUGGAAACUGUCAAUGAAAUGUGUUCCCUGGCCAUGAGCAUGAGACCUUUGACCAAGAGAAGAGUCCGAAAAGACUUCACAACUGAAGAAAUCAACUGCCUUUUGAAAGGCGUCCAAAAAAUGGGCAACCACUGGAAUUUGAUUUUGUGGUCUUACCCUUUCCAGAAAGGACGGACGGGCGUUGACCUUUCCAAGAAAUACUACAGGUUACAGGUGCAGAUGAAAAAAGCCCACAAAGGACAUCAGUAACAUCAUCUGUGAGUGCUUUGCUGCAGAAUGUUCAAGAACAGCCUUUGUAACAGUGAAGUAUUACCAGAACAACUCAAGCCCUUGGAGAAUUUAGGUUGGCUUGGACUCCUGUUUUUCAGUGACAACUGACAGAAUUGUUAUGCAUUGUAAUUUUAAUUUACCAUAACUUGACAGUUUAUUUAAGUAAUGCUAUCAUAGGCAACAAAAUCUCUCUUGGUAAAAAUUUCAUUAAUUUGGAACAUAAUUUAACCUUCUUGAGCAUUCGAUCUGUGCAAUUUUUGAGUUAACUUUUUGUCGCUUGCUCUGUACUAUUUGUAAGAAAAGGAUAUAUUGCUAAAAUUAAUACUUCAUGUCUGGAAGUGUUGUUCAUGUUGUUGUGUCUGAAUCUGUUUCCUCUUAAUUAGUGAAAUGUUUAAAGCAGGUGGAAUAUUUUGUCACGUGUUGAAUAUGCUGCAUGUGCAGAAAAACAUCUCUGUGACAGAAGACACUGAAUUUGUGGUUAAACACUGCUGCACAGAGGAGGCAAAUCUUUCACUGCUACAGAAAUUCUGUACUCACUGUUGAACUGAGCAGGUACUGGUAGAAUAUGGCUUCUGUUUAUAAUUGGACAGUUUUCUGGUGUAUUUUUCAAAUAAGUGAGCAGAACCAGAAUUUCUGCUAAUUACACAUUUUUUUAUAGGAAGCUUUACUGAAAGCCUUGGUAACUUGCUUUUUCAGUGAUAGCCUUUGUAUUUCAGUUGUAUUUUUACUUGUUCUGAUAUAGGAAGGAUGAAUCAAUAGUUAUUUUAUUAUGGAAAAGGUUUAGUUGUUGUAUUAGCACUAGGUUUUCACUAUGAUAUGGCUUAAAUGCUUGGAAACAGGCAAGGUAACCAAAACCCGAGAGACUUGCAAUAAAGAUGAUGCCAAUGAUGCAAUAAAUAUGCCUUCCAAUAUUUUCA
This is a long non-coding RNA of Camarhynchus parvulus, 1733 nucleotides long. RefSeq lists it as uncharacterized. The transcript is spliced from 3 exons. Lineage: Eukaryota; Metazoa; Chordata; Aves; Passeriformes; Thraupidae. The record is from RefSeq and is a predicted model, not a curated record.